This 504-nucleotide long non-coding RNA is filed under the name Vitis vinifera (wine grape). Its description in RNAcentral is "long non-coding RNA (VVIN_LNC005700)". The record is from RNAcentral. Lineage: Eukaryota; Viridiplantae; Streptophyta; Magnoliopsida; Vitales; Vitaceae.
UUCAACUGAGUAAUUCCAAACAUCCACCAACACGCCUCCUUAGAAAUGGCUAAAGCAAACAAAGAAAGGAAUUGCGACACUCAAAGGGGAAAAAGUGCCUUUAAAGGGCUUUUCUGAACAACACUAUCAUCACCAACACUCUAAUGCAACCAUCAUACAAUCUCCAAAACCACUCUCAUACCACCAAGACAAUUGUUGCAAACCUAGCCACUCAAUAAUGAACCUCGUUCACACUAUCUCAUCCACCACCACCACCCAAACAAUUGUGGAUACAGCAUCUAACAGUGUCACCAUCAAUGCAAACUCCAUUGCCACCUUCUUGACCAUCACCUGACCAUAUCCACCUUCAUCACCAGUAUCACCAUGGUCAAAACACACCCGCAACAGUAAUAUUCCCUAGCUAAUAUACAUAUUCCCUAGUAACAUUUAGGAAAAAUACUUUUUAUGCUUUUUACUUACUUUUACUUCACAAUCAAUACAACAAAAAACACUUCUGUUACUCCU